GAUGAACGCUGGCGGCGUGCCUAAUACAUGCAAGUCGAGCGAACGGACGAGAAGCUUGCUUCUCUGAUGUUAGCGGCGGACGGGUGAGUAACACGUGGAUAACCUACCUAUAAGACUUGGAUAACUUCGGGAAACCGGAGCUAAUACCGGAUAAUAUUUUGAACCGCAUGGUUCAAAAGUGAAAGACGGUCUUGCUGUCACUUAUAGAUGGAUCCGCGCUGCAUUAGCUAGUUGGUAAGGUAACGGCUUACCAAGGCAACGAUGCAUAGCCGACCUGAGAGGGUGAUCGGACACACUGGAACUGAGACACGGUCCAGACUCCUACGGGAGGCAGCAGUAGGGAAUCUUCCGCAAUGGGCGAAAGCCUGACGGAGCAACGCCGCGUGAGUGAUAAAGGUCUUCGGAUCGUAAAACUCUGUUAUUAGGGAAGAACAUAUGUGUAAGUAACUGUGCACAUCUUGACGGUACCUAAUCAGAAAGCCACGGCUAACUACGUG
This 497-nucleotide ribosomal RNA is filed under the name uncultured bacterium. RNAcentral's name for it is "partial 16S ribosomal RNA". It matches the Rfam family "Bacterial small subunit ribosomal RNA", at positions 28 to 507 of the family's 1533-position model. The record is from RNAcentral.